Molecule: transfer RNA, 89 nt
Filed under: Cyanobium sp.
Lineage: Bacteria; Bacillati; Cyanobacteriota; Cyanophyceae; Synechococcales; Prochlorococcaceae
Description: tRNA-Sec
Source: RNAcentral
GCGGCACUGGCCAGGUCGCUCAGGUUGUUGGCCUUCACCGCCAAGGCGGACAGAUCCUGGUCCCCGGUGUUGGUGCCGCUGCUGGUGCC